Molecule: ribosomal RNA, 375 nt
Filed under: uncultured bacterium
Lineage: Bacteria
Description: bacterial SSU rRNA
Rfam family: Bacterial small subunit ribosomal RNA
Source: RNAcentral
AUUGGGCGUAAGAGUCCGUAGGCUAGUCAUCCAAGUCUGCUGUUAAAGAGCGAGGCUUAACCUCGGUAAAGGCNGUGGAAACUGGAAGACUAGAGUGUAGUAGGGGCAGAGGGAAUUCCUGGUGUAGCGGUGAAAUGCGUAGAGAUCAGGAAGAACACCGGUGGCGAAGGCGCUCUGCUGGGCUAUAACUGACACUGAGGGACGAAAGCUAGGGGAGCGAAUGGGAUUAGAUACCCCAGUAGUCCUAGCGGUAAACGAUGGAAACUAGGUGUGGCCUGUAUCGACCCGGGCCGUGCCGAAGCAAACGCGUUAAGUUUCCCGCCUGGGGAGUACGCACGCAAGUGUGAAACUCAAAGGAAUUGGCGGGGGAGCACA